GACUUCUGUUUUCAGGCUACCAUAGUCAUAUCCCAGCCAGCAGUGAGGAAAAAAUUGGUAGCCAGGAGAGUAUCUUAUCUCUUAGAGCUCAUGGAGUUGCACAUAGUCUUUCCACAUGUAUGUGUCAUAUGGCCUGGAUUUAGGUUGCUCUGUCUAGCUGUGCUGGUGGCUAGAAAAGGAAGCUUUUAUCAUUAACUAUCAUAUUUUCUCAUGAAAAAUGCACAGCUAUCUUAUUGGAAAUAUUCAUAAUUUUCAAAAAAUAUAAUUAAAAAUUAGGGAAGUAUUUGUGUAAGGUAAAUUUCUAAUUAGUGCUUACACUAAGAUCACUGUAGCUGCCUGCCUCCCAAAGUCCAUGCUGGGGUCACUCACUGCAGACAAGGAGCUGCCGGCAUGCCUCUAUUUUAUACUACCGAACGUUGGGAGACACCAGACCCGACACACUUGCCACAUAACAAUCUUUCCUAAAGUAUUAUAAAGUCUAGUUUGACUUGUUUAUUUUAACAAGUAAUGAGUUAAAAAAAAAGAUACCUCAUAAAAGUAACAGAUGAUGAUUUAUUGUAAUGAUGAUUACAUCAUUGUACCUUUGUACUAUUUACCAAAUUAUCCAUGCAGUCUUUUAAUGUUAGAAAAACCAAACGUAUGUGCCAGAAAGCAAGACAGUUUGUCAUCAGGCAUUAAUAAAAAUUAAAACUUUUGCUCAGAACUUUGAGCCUAUAAUUAAAAAAAACACACACACAAGUUUUCUUAUUACUGGUAACAUUUUAUUUGGAAAACUAAUUUUAUUAAUCUCUUUUAGCUUCCUCUAUCAUCUUUGUCCCAGGACAGCAAACUGGUAUAUAUACAACUGCUAUGGGAUAAUAUCAACCUUCAUCAGGAGCCAGGAGAGCCUCUGUAUGUCUCUUGGAGGAACUUGAAGGAGUUUAUACAGAGAAAUCCUUUUCUUAUCAUUAGUGUCUCUUGGGAGAGAAAACAUUGAUAUUGAGGCUUUUGACAAUGAAUAUGGACUCGCAUAUAGAAGUCUGUCUUCAGAGAUUCUUGAAAAGUUACAGAAAAUCGAUGCCCCACCCAGUAUCAGUGUGGAGUGGUGCAGGAAGUGUUUUGGAGCACCUCUCAUUUAAAUAAGAUUCAUUCAAAUUUUGGUAGAGUAUUGGGGAAAUAGACCUGUCGGGAAACUGUUCUUCCCAAAUCAUAACUUGGUGAAAGCUGAGGAUGAAAUACAAAUGAACUGUAUUUCAUACUGAAUCUCUCAGAAUGUAAAACACCACUCAGUUCCCCAAGGCUUAUUGAUGUUGGAGAUUCCUGACCUAUUUCCCUGCCUCUGCUGAAAACGCAUAGUAUGUGUAAAAAAAAAAAUGAAAUUUUCA
Molecule: long non-coding RNA, 1364 nt
Filed under: Rattus norvegicus (Norway rat)
Lineage: Eukaryota; Metazoa; Chordata; Mammalia; Rodentia; Muridae
Description: long non-coding RNA NONRATT022367
Source: RNAcentral